AACGCACAUUGCGCCCCUUGGUAUUCCGAGGGGCAUGCCUGUUCGAGCGUCAUUACAACCCUCAAGCUUCGGCUUGGUAUUGGGCGCUGUCCGCCUAAGGACACGCCUGAAACCCAUUGGCAGUAGCGCCUAGCUCCUUGCGUAGUUAAUUCUCUUCGCAUCUGGAAGCCAGGUGGAUACCCGCCAGACAACCUUUUUACUUUCUAAGGUUUGACCUCGGAUCAGGUAGGGAUACCCGCUGAACUUAA
RNAcentral lists this unclassified non-coding RNA (248 nucleotides) under uncultured Dothideomycetes. RNAcentral's name for it is "sequence contains 5.8S rRNA gene, ITS2, 28S rRNA gene". The stretch from base 1 to 52 matches the Rfam family "5.8S ribosomal RNA", at positions 103 to 154 of the family's 154-position model. Lineage: Eukaryota; Fungi; Ascomycota; Dothideomycetes. The record is from RNAcentral.